This 600-nucleotide ribosomal RNA is filed under the name Nocardiopsis sp. I08A-00435. RNAcentral describes it as "bacterial SSU rRNA". It matches the Rfam family "Bacterial small subunit ribosomal RNA", at positions 58 to 661 of the family's 1533-position model. The record is from RNAcentral. Lineage: Bacteria; Bacillati; Actinomycetota; Actinomycetes; Streptosporangiales; Nocardiopsidaceae.
CAAGUCGAGCGGUAAGGCCCUUCGGGGUACACGAGCGGCGAACGGGUGAGUAACACGUGAGCAACCUGCCCCUGACUCCGGGAUAAGCGGUGGAAACGCCGUCUAAUACCGGAUACGACCCGUGGUCUCCUGGCCGCGGGUGGAAAGUUUUUUCGGUCGGGGAUGGGCUCGCGGCCUAUCAGCUUGUUGGUGGGGUAACGGCCUACCAAGGCGAUUACGGGUAGCCGGCCUGAGAGGGCGACCGGCCACACUGGGACUGAGACACGGCCCAAACUCCUGCGGGAGGCAGCAGUGGGGAAUAUUGCGCAAUGGGCGAAAGCCUGACGCAGCGACGCCGCGUGGGGGAUGACGGCCUUCGGGUUGUAAACCUCUUUUACCACCAACGCAGGCUCCCGGUUCUCCGGGGGUUGACGGUAGGUGGGGAAUAAGGACCGGCUAACUACGUGCCAGCAGCCGCGGUAAUACGUAGGGUCCGAGCGUUGUCCGGAAUUAUUGGGCGUAAAGAGCUCGUAGGCGGCGUGUCGCGUCUGCUGUGAAAGACCGGGGCUUAACUCCGGUUCUGCAGUGGAUACGGGCAUGCUAGAGGUAGGUAGGGGAGAC